RNAcentral lists this ribosomal RNA (701 nucleotides) under Kineococcus sp. RNAcentral's name for it is "bacterial SSU rRNA". It matches the Rfam family "Bacterial small subunit ribosomal RNA", at positions 53 to 768 of the family's 1533-position model. Lineage: Bacteria; Bacillati; Actinomycetota; Actinomycetes; Kineosporiales; Kineosporiaceae. The record is from RNAcentral.
ACAUGCAAGUCGAACGGUGAUCCACUCUUCGGAGGGUGAUCAGUGGCGAACGGGUGAGUAACACGUGAGCAACCUGCCCCUGGCUCUGGGACAACCACUGGAAACGGUGGCUAAUACCGGAUACGACCCGCCAUCGCAUGGUGUGUGGGUGGAAAGUUUUUCGGCUGGGGAUGGGCUCGCGGCCUAUCAGCUUGUUGGUGGGGUGAUGGCCUACCAAGGCGACGACGGGUAGCCGGCCUGAGAGGGCGACCGGCCACACUGGGACUGAGACACGGCCCAGACUCCUACGGGAGGCAGCAGUGGGGAAUAUUGCACAAUGGGCGAAAGCCUGAUGCAGCGACGCCGCGUGAGGGAUGACGGCCUUCGGGUUGUAAACCUCUUUCAGCUCCGAAGAAGCGAAAGUGACGGUAGGAGCAGAAGAAGCACCGGCUAACUACGUGCCAGCAGCCGCGGUAAUACGUAGGGUGCAAGCGUUGUCCGGAAUUAUUGGGCGUAAAGAGCUCGUAGGCGGUGUGUCGCGUCUGCUGUGAAAACUCAGGGCUCAACUCUGAGCUUGCAGUGGGUACGGGCACACUAGAGUGCUGUAGGGGAGACUGGAAUUCCUGGUGUAGCGGUGAAAUGCGCAGAUAUCAGGAGGAACACCGGUGGCGAAGGCGGGUCUCUGGGCAGUUACUGACGCUGAGGAGCGAAAGCAUGGGGAG